GCGUGCGGGAAGAAGGCCUUCGGGUUGUAAACCGCUUUUGUCAGGGAAGAAAAGCGCCGAGCCAAUACCUUGGCGUCAUGACGGUACCUGAAGAAUAAGCACCGGCUAACUACGUGCCAGCAGCCGCGGUAAUACGUAGGGUGCAAGCGUUAAUCGGAAUUACUGGGCGUAAAGCGUGCGCAGGCGGUCGUGCAAGACAGAUGUGAAAUCCCCGGGCUCAACCUGGGAACUGCAUUUGUGACUGCACGGCUAGAGUGCGGCAGAGGGGGAUGGAAUUCCGCAUGUAGCAGUGAAAUGCGU
RNAcentral lists this ribosomal RNA (300 nucleotides) under uncultured bacterium. RNAcentral's name for it is "bacterial SSU rRNA". It matches the Rfam family "Bacterial small subunit ribosomal RNA", at positions 399 to 691 of the family's 1533-position model. The record is from RNAcentral.